This 486-nucleotide ribosomal RNA is filed under the name uncultured bacterium. RNAcentral describes it as "partial 16S ribosomal RNA". It matches the Rfam family "Bacterial small subunit ribosomal RNA", at positions 30 to 507 of the family's 1533-position model. The record is from RNAcentral.
AUUGAACGCUGGCGGCAUGCCUUACACAUGCAAGUCGAACGGCAGCACGGGUGCUUGCCCCUGGUGGCGAGUGGCGAACGGGUGAGUAAUACAUCAGAACAUGUCCUGUAGUGGGGGAUAGCCCGGCGAAAGCCGGAUUAAUACCGCAUACGAUCUACGGCUGAAAGCGGGGGACCUUCGGGCCUCGCGCUAUAGGGUUGGCCGAUGGCUGAUUAGCUAGUUGGUGGGGUAAAGGCCUACCAAGGCGACGAUCAGUAGCUGGUCUGAGAGGACGACCAGCCACACUGGGACUGAGACACGGCCCAGACUCCUACGGGAGGCAGCAGUGGGGAAUUUUGGACAAUGGGCGAAAGCCUGAUCCAGCAAUGCCGCGUGUGUGAAGAAGGCCUUCGGGUUGUAAAGCACUUUUGUCCGGAAAGAAAUCCUUGGCUCUAAUACAGUCGGGGGAUGACGGUACCGGAAGAAUAAGCACCGGCUAACUACGUG